This 465-nucleotide ribosomal RNA is filed under the name Vreelandella stevensii. Its description in RNAcentral is "partial 16S ribosomal RNA". It matches the Rfam family "Bacterial small subunit ribosomal RNA", at positions 338 to 795 of the family's 1533-position model. Lineage: Bacteria; Pseudomonadati; Pseudomonadota; Gammaproteobacteria; Oceanospirillales; Halomonadaceae. The record is from RNAcentral.
CCUACGGGAGGCUGCAGUGGGGAAUAUUGGACAAUGGGGGCAACCCUGAUCCAGCCAUGCCGCGUGGGUGAAGAAGGCCCUCGGGUUGUAAAGCACUUUCAGUGAGGAAGAACGCCUGGUGGUUAAUACCCAUCAGGAAAGACAUCACUCACAGAAGAACCACCGGCUAACGCCGUGCCAGCAGCCGCGGUAAUACGGAGGGUGCGAGCGUUAAUCGGAAUUACUGGGCGUAAAGCGCGCGUAGGUGGCUUGAUAAGCCGGUUGUGAAAGCCCCGGGCUCAACCUGGGAACGGCAUCCGGAACUGUCAAGCUAGAGUGCAGGAGAGGAAGGUAGAAUUCCCCGUGUAGCGGUGAAAUGCGUAGAGAUCGGGAGGAAUACCAGUGGCGAAGGCGGCCUUCUGGAACGACACUGACACUGAGGUGCGAAAGCGUGGGGAGCAAACAGGAUUAGAUACCCCGGUAGUC